UACGGAGGGUGCGAGCGUUGUCCGGAAUCACUGGGCGUAAAGGGCGCGUAGGUGGCUUGGCAAGCGUGUGGUGAAAGCCCGGGGCUCAACCCCGGGUCUGCCGUGCGAACUGCUAUGGCUUGAGCACUGUAGAGGCAGGUAGAAUUCCGGGUGUAGCGGUGGAAUGCGUAGAGAUCCGGAAGAACACCUGAGGCGAAGGCGGCUUGCUGGGCAUGAUCUGACGCUGAGGCGCGAAAGCGUGGGGAGCAAACAGG
Molecule: ribosomal RNA, 254 nt
Filed under: uncultured bacterium
Lineage: Bacteria
Description: partial 16S ribosomal RNA
Rfam family: Bacterial small subunit ribosomal RNA
Source: RNAcentral